Molecule: unclassified non-coding RNA, 769 nt
Filed under: Tetrastigma cf. magnum PBP-2017
Lineage: Eukaryota; Viridiplantae; Streptophyta; Magnoliopsida; Vitales; Vitaceae
Description: partial contains tRNA-Leu (trnL), trnL-trnF intergenic spacer, and tRNA-Phe (trnF)
Rfam family: Group I catalytic intron (bases 1-459)
About the family: Group I catalytic introns are large self-splicing ribozymes.
Source: RNAcentral
AAACCUACUAAGUGAUAACUUUCAAAUUCAGGGAAACCCUGGAAUAAAAAAUGGGCAAUCCUGAGCCAAAUCCUGUUUUCCGAAAACCAGAAAACGCUAAUAAAAAAAGGAUAGGUGCAGAGACUCAAUGGAAGCUGUUCUAACAAAAACAAAUGGAGUUGACUAUGUUACGAUGUUAAACGAAUCCUUCCAUCAAAACUCCAGAACCCGAAAGGAUGAAGGAUAAACCUAUAUACACAGGUACUGAAAUAUUAUAUCAAAUGAUUAAUGAUGGCUCGAAUCUCUAUUUUUUUAUAUGAAAAAUGAAAGAAUUGUUGUAAAUCGAUUCCAAGUUGAAGAAAGAAAAGAAUCGAAUAUUCAUUGAUCAAAUCAUUCACUCCAUAGUCCGAUAGAUCAUUUGAAGAACUGAUUAAUCGGACGAGAAUAAAGAGAGAGUCCCAUUCUACAUGUCAAUAUCGACAGCAAUGAAAUUUAUAGUAAGAGGAAAAUCCGUCGACUUUAAAAAUCGUGAGGGUUCAAGUCCCUCUAUCCCCAAAAAAGCCUACUUGACUCCCUAACUAUUUAUCCUCUCUUUUCAUUAUCGGUUCAAAAUUCGUUGUGGUUAUCAUUCACUCUACUCGUUCACAAAGGGAUCCGCGAAGAAUUUUUUUCUCUUAUCGCAAGUCUUGUGGUAUAUAUAUAUAUAUAUAUAUAUAUAUGAUACGCGUACAAACAAACAUCUUUGUGCAAGGAAUGGAAUCCCCGUUUGAAUGAUUCACAGUACAUAUCA